GGUAGGGUGGCUGAAUAUAGGUGAUAGACUGUAAAUCUAUUUAUGAGGAUUUCCCUCUCUUACCA
RNAcentral lists this transfer RNA (65 nucleotides) under Rhithrogena sp. XL-2019. RNAcentral's name for it is "tRNA-Tyr". It matches the Rfam family "tRNA". Rfam says of the family: Transfer RNA (tRNA) molecules are approximately 80 nucleotides in length. Their secondary structure includes four short double-helical elements and three loops (D, anti-codon, and T loops). Further hydrogen bonds mediate the characteristic L-shaped molecular structure. tRNAs have two regions of fundamental functional importance: the anti-codon, which is responsible for specific mRNA codon recognition, and the 3' end, to which the tRNAs corresponding amino acid is attached (by aminoacyl-tRNA synthetases). tRNAs cope with the degeneracy of the genetic code in two manners: having more than one tRNA (with a specific anti-codon) for a particular amino acid; and 'wobble' base-pairing, i.e. permitting non-standard base-pairing at the 3rd anti-codon position. Lineage: Eukaryota; Metazoa; Arthropoda; Insecta; Ephemeroptera; Heptageniidae. The record is from RNAcentral.